AGCGAACGCUGGCGGCAGGCCUAACACAUGCAAGUCGAACGAACCUUUCGGGGUUAGUGGCGGACGGGUGAGUAACACGUGGGAACGUGCCUUUAGGUUCGGAAUAACUCAGGGAAACUUGUGCUAAUACCGAAUGUGCCCUUCGGGGGAAAGAUUAAUCGCCUUUAGAGCGGCCCGCGUCUGAUUAGCUAGUUGGUUGAGGUAAUGGCUCACCAAGGCGACGAUCAGUAGCUGGUCUGAGAGGAUGAUCAGCCACAUUGGGACUGAUACACGGCCCAAACUCCUACGGGAGGGAGGAGUGGGGGAUCUUGCGCAAUGGGCGAAAGCCUGACGCAGCCAUGCCGCGUGAAUGAUGAAGGUCUUAGGAUUGUAAAAUUCUUUCACCGGGGACGAUAAUGACGGUACCCGGAGAAGAAGCCCCGGCUAACUUCGUG
This 434-nucleotide ribosomal RNA is filed under the name uncultured bacterium. RNAcentral's name for it is "partial 16S ribosomal RNA". It matches the Rfam family "Bacterial small subunit ribosomal RNA", at positions 29 to 507 of the family's 1533-position model. The record is from RNAcentral.